CAGGGCGUCGCAGAGGGUGAGAAUCCCGUANGCGGNUGACGACCAAACNUNGGNGAAGCCCUUUCGACGAGUCGAGUUGUUUGGGAAUGCAGCUCUAAAUGGGUGGUAAAUUUCAUCUAAAGCUAAAUAUCUGCCAGAGACCGAUAGCGCACAAGUAGAGUGAUCGAAAGAUGAAAAGCACUUUGAAAAGAGAGUCAAAAAGUACGUGAAAUUGUUGAAAGGGAAGCGAUUGCAAUCAGACUCGUUCGCGGGUGUUCAGCCGCUGUACGCAGUGGUGCACUUUCCCGCUUCGGCCAGCAUCGGUUUCGGCGACCGGAUAAAGGCCUCGGGAACGUAGCUCUCUUCGGGGAGGUUAUAGCCCGGGGUGUAAUGCGGCCAGCUGGGACUGAGGACCGCGCAUUGCUAGGAUGCUGGCAUAAUGAUUGUAAUCGGCCCGUCUUGAAAC
RNAcentral lists this ribosomal RNA (445 nucleotides) under Ocellularia sp. 6 EK-2014. RNAcentral describes it as "eukaryotic LSU rRNA". It matches the Rfam family "Eukaryotic large subunit ribosomal RNA", at positions 196 to 660 of the family's 3401-position model. Lineage: Eukaryota; Fungi; Ascomycota; Lecanoromycetes; Ostropales; Graphidaceae. The record is from RNAcentral.